GAAAUAGAAACGGACAGAGAACUUGUUCGAAGAAAGUGGAAGUAGACUUACAACAAUGGCUUUAGUGGCGGACUGGUGAGUAACGCGUAAGGAACCUGCCUUCUAGAGGGGAAUAACAAUGAGAAAUCAUUGCUAAUACCGCAUAUGCCGAGAGAAUCACAUGGUACAAUCGGGAAAAGAGUAAUCUGCUAGAAGAUGGCCUUGCGUCUGAUUAGAUAGUUGGUGGGGUAACGGCCUACCAAGUCGACGAUCAGUAGCCGGACUGAGAGGUUGAACGGCCACAUUGGGACUGAGAUACGGCCCAGACUCCUACGGGAGGCAGCAGUCGGGAAUAUUGCGCAAUGGAGGAAACUCUGACGCAGUGACGCCGCGUAUAGGAGGAAGGUUUUCGGAUUGUAAACUAUUGUCGUUAGGGAAGAGAAAGGACAGUACCUAAGGAGGAAGCUCCGGCUAACUACGUGCCAGCAGCCGCGGUAAUACGUAGGGAGCGAGCGUUAUCCGGAAUUAUUGGGUGUAAAGGGUGCGUAGACGGGAAGAUAAGUUAGUUGUGAAAUCCCUCGGCUUAACUGAGGAACUGCAACUAAAACUGUUUUUCUUGAGUGCAGGAGAGGUAAGUGGAAUUCCUAGUGUAGCG
This 634-nucleotide ribosomal RNA is filed under the name uncultured bacterium. RNAcentral describes it as "bacterial SSU rRNA". It matches the Rfam family "Bacterial small subunit ribosomal RNA", at positions 44 to 680 of the family's 1533-position model. The record is from RNAcentral.